AGAAUCAACGCUGGCGGCGUGCCUAACACAUGCAAGUCGAACGAGAAAGUGGAGCAAUCCAUGAGUAAAGUGGCGACCGGGUGAGUAACACGUGACUAACCUACCUUCGAGUGGGGGAUAACAUCGGGAAACCGAUGCUAAUACCGCAUAACAUCGCAAGAUCAAAGCAGCAAUGCGCUGGAAGAGGGGGUCGCGGCUGAUUAGCUAGUUGGCGGGGUAACGGCCCACCAAGGCGAAGAUCGGUAGCCGGCCUGAGAGGGCGCACGGCCACACUGGAGCUGAAACACGGUCCAGACUCCUACGGGAGGCAGCAGUGGGGAAUUUUGCGCAAUGGGGGAAACCCUGACGCAGCAACGCCGCGUGGAGGAUGAAGCCCCUUGGGGCGUAAACUCCUUUCGACCAAGACGAUAAUGACGGUACUGGUGGAAGAAGCACCGGCUAACUCUACGCCAGCAGCCGC
Molecule: ribosomal RNA, 460 nt
Filed under: uncultured bacterium
Lineage: Bacteria
Description: SSU rRNA
Rfam family: Bacterial small subunit ribosomal RNA
Source: RNAcentral